Drosophila subobscura is the source of this 1597-nucleotide long non-coding RNA. RefSeq lists it as uncharacterized. The transcript has 2 exons. The record is from RefSeq and is a predicted model, not a curated record. Lineage: Eukaryota; Metazoa; Arthropoda; Insecta; Diptera; Drosophilidae.
UAAGUCCUUCUUAAAUUAGGCCAUUUACCCAUAGAGGGUGCCAGGCCCGUAUAACGUUAAUGAUUAGUAGAUGAUGUUUCCAAAGAGUCGUGUUGCUUGAUAGUGCAGCACUAAGUGGGUGGUAAACUCCAUCUAAAACUAAAUAUAACCAUGAGACCGAUAGUAAACAAGUACCGUAAGGGAAAGUUGAAAAGAACUCUGAAUAGAGAGUUAAACAGUACGUGAAACUGCUUAGAGGUUAAGCCCGAUGAACCUGAAUAUCCGUUAUGGAAAAUUCAUCAUUAAAGUUGUAAUAUUUUAACAAUAUUAUAAUAAUAGUGUGAAUUUUUUCCAUAUAAGGACAUUGUAAUCUAUUAGCAUAUACCAAAUUUAUCAUAAAAUAUGGCUUAUAGUUUAUUCAAAUUAUUAUGCUUGCAUUUUAACAUAGAAUAAAUGUCAUUAAUUUGAUAAAGUGUUGAUAAAUUAAAAUUAAUACAGUGCGUUAAUUUUCCGAAAUUAUAUAAUGGCAUAAUUAUCAUCGAUAUUUGUGUUUAUUAUAAGCAUUUGUAUGAUUAACAAUGCGAAAGAUUCAGGAUACCUUCGGGACCCGUCUUGAAACACGGACCAAGGAGUCUAACAUAUGUGCAAGUUAUUGGGAGAUAAACCUAAUAGCGUAAUUAACUUGACUAAUAAUGGGAUUAGUUUUUAACUAUUUAUAGAUAAUUAACACAAUCCCGGGCGUUCUAUAUAGUUAUGUAUAAUAAUAUUUAUAUUAUUUAUGCCUCUAACUGGAACGUACCUUGAGCAUAUAUGCUGUGACCCGAAAGAUGGUGAACUAUACUUGAUCAGGUUGAAGUCAGGGGAAACCCUGAUGGAAGACCGAAACAGUUCUGACGUGCAAAUCGAUUGUCAGAAUUGAGUAUAGGGGCGAAAGACCAAUCGAACCAUCUAGUAGCUGGUUCCUUCCGAAGUUUCCCUCAGGAUAGCUGGUGCAUUUUAAUGUUAUAUAAAAUAAUCUUAUCUGGUAAAGCGAAUGAUUAGAGGCCUUAGGGUCGAAACGAUCUUAACCUAUUCUCAAACUUUAAAUGGGUAAGAACCUUAACUUUCUUGAUAUGAAGUUUAAGGUUAUGAUAUAAUGUGCCCAGUGGGCCACUUUUGGUAAGCAGAACUGGCGCUGUGGGAUGAACCAAACGUAAUGUUACGGUGCCCAAAUUAACAACUCAUGCAGAAACCAUGAAAGGCGUUGGUUGCUUAAAACAGCAGGACGGUGAUCAUGGAAGUCGAAAUCCGCUAAGGAGUGUGUAACAACUCACCUGCCGAAGCAACUAGCCCUUAAAAUGGAUGGCGCUUAAGUUGUAUACCUAUACAUUACCGCUAAAGUAGAUGAUUUAUAUUACUUGUGAUAUAAAUUUUGAAACUUUAGUGAGUAGGAAGGUACAAUGGUAAGCGUAGAAGUGUUUGGCGUAAGCCUGCAUGGAGCUGCCAUUGGCACAGAUCUUGGUGGUAGUAGCAAAUAAUCGAAUGAGACCUUGGAGGACUGAAGUGGAGAAGGGUUUCGUGUGAACAGUGGUUGAUCACGAGUUAGUCGGUCCUAAGUUCAAGGCGAAAGCCGAAAAUU